UCGAGCGAAUGGAUUGAGAGCUUGCUCUCAAGAAGUUAGCGGCGGACGGGUGAGUAACACGUGGGUAACCUGCCCAUAAGACUGGGAUAACUCCGGGAAACCGGGGCUAAUACCGGAUAACAUUUUGAACUGCAUGGUUCGAAAUUGAAAGGCGGCUUCGGCUGUCACUUAUGGAUGGACCCGCGUCGCAUUAGCUAGUUGGUGAGGUAACGGCUCACCAAGGCAACGAUGCGUAGCCGACCUGAGAGGGUGAUCGGCCACACUGGGACUGAGACACGGCCCAGACUCCUACGGGAGGCAGCAGUAGGGAAUCUUCCGCAAUGGACGAAAGUCUGACGGAGCAACGCCGCGUGAGUGAUGAAGGCUUUCGGGUCGUAAAACUCUGUUGUUAGGGAAGAACAAGUGCUAGUUGAAUAAGCUGGCACCUUGACGGUACCUAACCAGAAAGCCACGGCUAACUACGUGCCAGCAGCCGCGGUAAUACGUAGGUGGCAAGCGUUAUCCGGAAUUAUUGGGCGUAAAGCGCGCGCAGGUGGUUUCUUAAGUCUGAUGUGAAAGCCCACGGCUCAACCGUGGAGGGUCAUUGGAAACUGGGAGACUUGAGUGCAGAAGAGGAAAGUGGAAUUCCAUGUGUAGCGGUGAAAUGCGUAGAGAUAUGGAGGAACACCAGUGGCGAAGGCGACUUUCUGGU
This 691-nucleotide ribosomal RNA is filed under the name Bacillus sp. J514206. RNAcentral describes it as "bacterial SSU rRNA". It matches the Rfam family "Bacterial small subunit ribosomal RNA", at positions 62 to 733 of the family's 1533-position model. Lineage: Bacteria; Bacillati; Bacillota; Bacilli; Caryophanales; Bacillaceae. The record is from RNAcentral.